GAUGAAGAACGCAGCGAAAUGCGAUAAGUAGUGUGAAUUGCAGAAUUCAGUGAAUCAUCGAAUCUUUGAACGCACAUUGCGCCCCUUGGUAUUCCAUGGGGCAUGCCUGUUCGAGCGUCAUUUGUACCUUCAAGCUUUGCUUGGUGUUGGGUGUUUGUCUCGCCUUUGCGUGUAGACUCGCCUUAAAAUAAUUGGCAGCCGGCGUAUUGAUUUCGGAGCGCAGUACAUCUCGCGCUUUGCACUCAUAACGACAGCGUCCAAAAGUACAUUUUACACUCUUGACCUCGGAUCAGGUAGGGAUACCCGCUGAACUUAAGCAUAUCAAUAAGCGGAGGG
Molecule: unclassified non-coding RNA, 336 nt
Filed under: soil metagenome
Description: partial contains 5.8S ribosomal RNA, internal transcribed spacer 2, and large subunit ribosomal RNA
Rfam family: 5.8S ribosomal RNA (bases 1-120)
Source: RNAcentral